This 477-nucleotide ribosomal RNA is filed under the name Arthrobrachus nigromaculatus. Its description in RNAcentral is "eukaryotic LSU rRNA". Lineage: Eukaryota; Metazoa; Arthropoda; Insecta; Coleoptera; Melyridae. The record is from RNAcentral.
GACUUGAAACCGUUCAGGGGUAAACCUGAGAAACCCGAAAGGUCKAACGGGGAGAUUCACCGCGUUUCGUGACCGAAGUUCGGCGCAUGCGCGACCGACUGCCGUUCGCGGUCGUCGGCGCCGUACGCCUUACGCAAUGUCGGUACCGAACGCGUGCACUUCUCCCCUAGUAGGACGUCGCGAUCCGUUGGUCGCCGGCCUAAGGCUCGCGGUGGAGACCGCACGGGACGGCUCGCGCCGUUAACCUGUGCGGACCCGCGGUGUCCCGGUCGGCUCGUCCGACGGUAUACAGAUGGCGCUGGGCCGCGACAUUAGUUCGCGUCCGGCCUUCGGCAAGCACGUUGCGAGCUCCGACGAUCGGGCCUAGUACCGAUCCCGGUCUCCGACGUCUGUUGGCCGCUUGGUUCUCGGACAGACCCAGUCGAAACGCCGAUCUGCGACGCCGUAGCUUUGGGUACUUUCAGGACCCGUCUUGAA